This 342-nucleotide small RNA is filed under the name Castor canadensis (American beaver). RNAcentral describes it as "7SK RNA (ENSCCNG00000022614.1)". The stretch from base 1 to 283 matches the Rfam family "7SK RNA". From Rfam's summary of the family: 7SK was discovered as an abundant small nuclear RNA in the mid-70s but a possible function has only recently been suggested. Two independent studies have found that 7SK RNA binds the CDK9/cyclin T complex (known as elongation factor P-TEFb). Lineage: Eukaryota; Metazoa; Chordata; Mammalia; Rodentia; Castoridae. The record is from RNAcentral.
AGAUGUGAGGGCGAUCUGGCUGCGACAUCUGUCACCCCACUGAUCACCAGGGUUGAUUCAGCUGAUCUGGCUGGCCAGGCGGGUGUCCCCUUCCUCCCUCACCACUCCAUGUACGUCCCUCCCGAAGCUGCGCGCUUGGUGGAGGAGGACGACCAUCCCCGAUAGAGGAGGACCGUUCUUCGGUCAAGGGUAUACGAGUAGCUGCGCUCUCCUCCUAGAACCUCCAAACAAGCUCUCAAAUGCAAACUGCAUCCACCCAUCCCAAGGUUCCCCAAGAUCAUCUCAUUACAGCUCAAAUUCCAAAUCUCAUCACAUCGACAAUAUCUAAAUCAGAUUCAGGUG